RNAcentral lists this small RNA (5062 nucleotides) under Arabidopsis thaliana (thale cress). Its description in RNAcentral is "ATSL161710". The stretch from base 2403 to 2509 matches the Rfam family "Plant small nucleolar RNA R71". Lineage: Eukaryota; Viridiplantae; Streptophyta; Magnoliopsida; Brassicales; Brassicaceae. The record is from RNAcentral.
UUUUUAAGUUUUAAACAUCACCCAUACUCGACCAAUGCACUCGAUCUCUAGGCACUCGGUAGAGUAAAAGUUUUAAAUUUUUACUCUACCUUCACGUUAUUCCUCUAUUCCUGAGAACCACAAACAUAACUAAAACAAAUAAAAAAUAACAAGAAAGUAAAAAUUAUUUACAAGGAUAAUCAUGGGACUUCCUCCCAAGUGAGCUUGUUUAAAGUCUCUAGCUUGACUCCUCACACUUAUCAAGAGGAGAAAGCACUAUAGAGAGGGUCUGCAUAAUCCUCUCUGAUACCAUCAUCAUACUCAGCGUCCUCCUUGGAGAGGUCUGCGGCAGAAUACUCAAUUACCUUCUCUUCAAAAUAUGCUUCUUUCUCUUCUGGAGGGUAAUCUGUCUCUUUAGACCAUAUUGAAGUGAACUUUUUUCUCGGGACAGUGUCAAUCCCGUCUUUAGGUUGAGCUUCCUUCUACAACUGAUUUAGCUUACUUCUAAGUUCCUCAACAGUGUGGGCUAGCUUCUCUAUAGUUUUAUCUUGCUUAUCAGACUUCUUUUUAAGUUCUUUCACUCUUUCAGUCUCAUAUCCUUCUCUUGAGAUCACUCUAUCAUUUCCAGAGGUUCUUCCAUCUUCUGUUGACCCUUGUGGAGUUUUGUUGAUGCCAAACUGCAACUUGAUAUGCUUUCCAAGGUUGAGACUUAUUUUCCCUUCCCUGACAUCUAUCACUGCUCCUACUGAAGCUAACAAGGGUCUUCCCAGUAUUAAGGGAUCCUUAUGCUCUACUUCCAUAUCCAGCACCACGAAGUCUGUAGGCACUUCUACUCCAUUAAUCAUGACUGGUAGAUCUUUCAGCAUGCCGAAGGGUUUUCUAAAAGACCUAUCCGCAAGGAUCAAAGUCAGGUCACAAGGUUUAUACUGAAUGAACUCUAACCUUCUUGCCACAGAGAGUGGCAUUAAGCUGACAGAGGCUCCGAGAUCGCACAGGCAAUCGCUAAAAGCUAAUUCCCCAAUGGAACAUGGUAGAGUGAAAGAUCCAGGAUCUUCUAACUUCUCUUGAACAAUCCUCUUAUCAGAAGCUCGAGAUGGAGUGGCAUCACUUUCAUCAUCUGAAUCGUGAUACAUCUUGAUCCUUUCCAGUAUCAAAUUUCUCACAUCUUUGUGAGGAUCAGGAAUCAGGUUGAGAACUUCAAUCAGUGGCAUCACUGCUUCAAUCUCGUCCAGCUGCUUCGAUGCAACAGACUUGUAUUUCUCCAUCCACGCUUUCCUGAAUGUCCACGGAAGAGCACUUGAGGGCAGUGGAGUAGGUUUGAAUCGUUUUACCAUUCUCUCGAUUAUGGCGGCCUUCUCUUCCGAGGUGGACUAAAUGAGAUGGCGAGAACCAGCAAAAUGGUUGAAUUCAUCUAAACAUUGCAUAGAGCAAUAGGUCGAUAAUCUGAGACUUUCUUCGGAGCUCUCACUUUUGGGAUUAUCAACAGAGACUUCAACCUGAGUAGAAGCCUCCCCGUCUUGAACAUCACUGUCCCCAGUGAUGAAAUCAGGGACAUGUCGAGUUGGCAGCUCUCGAUCAUGGCAGAUGGUGAUGGCGUGUGCAGUUGCAUACUCCUUUGGAUUUUGUAUUGACUUCCCAGGAAGUCCUGUAACUUUAGGUGUAGAGGUAGAUGCUGAUUGGCCUUCCAAAUAUCUGACUUUGGUGUUCAAUGCCUCCACUUUGGCAUUCAUGUCAUUGUAGCUGCAGUCCAGCUUAUGGUGUAAUUCAGAUAACUUCUUAGCAAUUUCCAUUGAGCUAGAUGCUUGUACCUCUAGCAGCUGUUGUACCAUCUGUUUCAUUUCAGCAUCAGGAGCAGCAGGACCUUGGUUUUGCUGAGUUGUAAACCCAGGUGGUGGUGGCGGCUGGUAGUUCCCCUGGAAUUGCUGCUUAGGAACGAAACCUUGGUUGUAGGGAACAAAGGGUUUGUUCUGACCUUGUUGUUGUUGUGGAGGAUUAGCAACGUUGGUGCUGCGGUAGGAGAGGUUGGGGUUGUUGGUUUUGAAGUUGUUGUAUCCUUUGUAGCCACCCUGGUUGUUGAUGAUGUAGCUGACUUCUUCCAACUGGUUACCCUCCCCAUAUUGGACUUGAAACUGCUUGUCAUCAACAAGGAAGUGCACAUGCUUCUGCUGGCUAAGAAGAAUCAUGUCCAGCUUGUCAUUCAGCGCUUUGAUCUCAUUCCUGUGUUUGUCAUCAGAGUUAGUUGUUCCUCUGACCUAUCACAGUCCUCGUUGUAAUUGCCAUCUGAUUGAGCAAGGUUCUCAACCAAUUCCCAGCCUUCUUCAACAUCCUUGUUUUGGAAAUUUCCAUUGCUGGAGGUAUCCAGAAGCAUUCUGAUGCGUAGUAGGACUCCUCUGUAAAGAGUGCUGAGCAGAGAGGCUUUAGUAAAGCCAUGAUGAGGGCAUUGGUUGGUGUAACCCUUGAAACGCUCCCAUGCUUCACAGAAGCUUUCACGAGUCUUCUGUGAGAAACCAGAAAUCUCAUUUCUGAGUCUUGCAGUUCUGGCAUUGGAGAAGAACUUUGAUAGAAAAGCCUUCUUACAAUCAUCCCAGGUGGUGAUUGAGUCAUGGGGCAGAUUCUUCUCCCAGAUGUGUGCUUUGUCGCCCAAGGAGAAUGGAAACAAACGGAGCUUGAAUCCGUCUUCACUGACACCAUUGAUUUUUGUCAGGUUGUAGAGCCUAUCGAAUUCAUCAAGGUGGUCGAGUGGAUCCUCCAUUGGCAGACCAUGGAAUUUGUUCCCCUGAAUCAUCGAGAUGAGACCACUCUUAAUCUCAAAGUUGUUGUUCUGGAUAGCAGGAGGUGCAAUUCCUUUCCUCUGACGGUGAUCACGUGGUGCAUCUCCAACACCAAUGUUGGCAGGGCCAUUUUGUUGAUUCUGUUUGUCAGCCUUUUCGAGUGGUUGCUGAGGUACAAGGUUGACAGUGUUUCUCCUUUCUCUGAGUUCGCGAGCUAUGCGAUCGAUUUUGCGUUGAAAAGGAGGUUCUGAUUGCCUGUUGAUCGAGUUCGCAUACAGCAGAGGUGUACCUGGAUCAAGAAGACAACAAGAAAAACACACAGUUAGCAACCGAUUUGAAAAUUGAAAAAGAACUUGAUCUAAGCAAGUCUGAAAUCUCAAAUGUAACAAACAAACACCCAAUUGGCAACGGCGCCAAAUUGAUAAUAGGUUUUAAGAUCAACUAAUCCUAAAGCACUAUCAUGUCGUUGUAGUACUGAAGGUGUAUCUCCAAAUGGGUGUGAUGCUAACAAUCAAGAUGUGAUCAGAAGUCACUAAGUCAAGCCAAGCAAUAACAGGUUGUGGUGUGUUCUAGCAGUUCUAAGUGAACAUGCAGAAAACAGAAAUUCAAGCAGAAACAGUAAAACACUCGACCAACACAGCUCUUUGCAGAGCACUAGGUGAGGUCGAGUGACAGGUUGAGUAACAGACAUAAAAUAAAACACAGAUACUCGAUUGCACAGUCUCUUGCCAGACAACUGGGUGGUCGAGUAUGAGGUCGAGUAACAAGAAAGAACUGUAGAAACUAAGCGACAGAUAACAAGAUGCAGUAAACAACAAUAGAGUAAACAAAGAAUUCAAUCAGAUAAAGAAUUCCCGAGGAUGGGGUAAUUGAGUAGUUUCGUUUCCUCAGUUUACAGGUGAUUGGCAUGCUCAAUAAAUUAACCCUAGACAAUAAGUUCAUUAACCAAAUCUAAGUGCCACCGCAACAGAGACCCUCAAGUUAACCUAGUCCCAGACUCAAUCACCAUUAACGAGAGCUAACCUAACAUGCAUUACGAAUCAACAAGUUAAAGCCAAAACGCUCCCUACAACCAAUACCUUGGUACAGGGUCACGAAUCUCUGGAAUUAGUGGUUCAGACAUUUCAUCGAACACCUUUUGCGCACAGAAAUGUCUGGGCUCAAAUUCCAGUUGAUCAGAAAGCAAUAGGCAUUAAGAACAACUAAUCCAGAAGGGAUCUAUCAAUCAAUACUCAAUCACCUAGCAUUACACUACUCUAACCCAUCCUCAGAAACCUAUUCACUACUCAGACAUCAUAACAAAAAGCAUAAACGUUGAACAUGUUGAAAACAUGAUAACAAUAGUGUAACAGCAGGAUGAUAACAGAAUAAACAACAGCAAACAAAAUCAAGAACAAAAACUGAAUACUGAAUACUGAAUAGAUAAAGAGAAAUUCGGAUUACAAAAGGUCUAGAAUACAAAGUCUGCGGAAUAAAACUAGAUAAAAACUUGUUUGCGAAAAUGUGAAGUACAUGCUACUUAUAGCCAAAUAUUCCGAAACCCUAAUACUUAAAACGACGAAGUAUUGGGACAAAUUAAGAACUAUACUCGACCCAAACAAGGAAAAUGAGAACUCUAAAAGCCCUACUCAAUCAUUGAUAAACCAACAUGUAACAAAUUUAAGAACUAAAAUGCAAUCAACAGGUGACACAAAUAACAGGUAAAUAAAAAUGCAAUCAGGGGGUAAAUACAAAUAAAUCUAAGAAGAAUAGAAGUCCUAAGGAUGGAUUCAUUGAUAAGGGCAACUCUAAGGUUCAUCAGAUGGCUAACAGGUGAAAGGCAUAAACCCUAGACGAUAGAUUCAAAAACUGGUUCAAUCCACUCUCGUGAUAGAGACCCCAUAACCCUACCACUUCCUAAUCUCAACUCUCGUUGAUGAAACAUAGCAGAGCAGGGUUUAAGCAACAAUCUAGCAAAGCCAAUAAAUAGACUAGCCAAUCUCUUGGUCAAGUCUACAAAUCUCUAGAAUUCGUAGAUCAGACAUCCAUUUGAACGUCUUUUUGACGUUGGACGUCUAUGGUCAAAUUUCCACAUUAGCAAGCGAAAACCGCAUAGGGGCCAACGAAUCCAGAAGGGAUCUAACCUAAUCUUGACCACCUGACUAACCUAGAGAUUACCCUAAUCUAAUUCAUCCCCAAGAACCCUAAUCACUACUCAAGCAACAUAACUUAGAACACAAACCCAGAAAUUACUGAAAUCAUACCAACCUGUAGAUCUAAACAAGCUAAACAUCUUUACUAAAAGAACUAAAUGCAAAAACGAAAUAGAUUAA